Molecule: unclassified non-coding RNA, 117 nt
Organism: Callithrix jacchus (white-tufted-ear marmoset)
Lineage: Eukaryota; Metazoa; Chordata; Mammalia; Primates; Cebidae
Rfam family: Metazoan signal recognition particle RNA
About the family: The signal recognition particle (SRP) is a universally conserved ribonucleoprotein.
Source: Ensembl
GCUGGGCAUGGUGGCUCAUGCCUGUAAUCCCAGCACUUUGGGAGGCUGAGGUGGGUGGAUUGCUUGAGGUCAGGAGUUUGAGACCAGCCUGGCCAACAUGGUAAACCCCCAUCUCUA